Molecule: ribosomal RNA, 508 nt
Filed under: uncultured bacterium
Lineage: Bacteria
Description: partial 16S ribosomal RNA
Source: RNAcentral
GGAGUUAGCCGGUGCUUCUUCUGUGAGUGAUGUCCUUCCUGCCGGCUAUUAACCCGCAGGCCUUCUUCCUCACUGAAAGUGCUUUACAACCCGAAGGCCUUCUUCACACACGCGGCAUGGCUGGAUCAGGGUUGCCCCCAUUGUCCAAUAUUCCCCACUGCUGCCUCCCGUAGGAGUCUGGGCCGUGUCUCAGUCCCAGUGUGGCUGAUCAUCCUCUCAGACCAGCUACGGAUCGUCGCCUUGGUGAGCCGUUACCUCACCAACCAGCUAAUCCGACAUAGGCUCAUCCGAUAGCGCGAGGCCCGAAGGUCCCCCGCUUUCCCCCGUAGGGCGUAUGCGGUAUUAGCCUGGGUUUCCCCAGGUUAUCCCCCACUACCGGGCAGAUUCCUAUGCAUUACUCACCCGUCCGCCGCUCGCCACCAGGGAGCAAGCUCCCCGUGCUGCCGCUCGACUUGCAUGUGUUAGGCCUGCCGCCAGCGUUCAAUCUAAGCCAUAAUACAAACUCUGA